UUGUUUCAUAUUGUCAUUAUUAAAAUUUAUAUUUUUAUAUUUUUUCAUUUGGAACUAUUUCCUUUGGUUUUUUUUCUUUUCAGAGUGGUUGUUGUUUUACAAUAUUUGAAUUACUUUUGUAUAUUUGAAUGUUAGACUUUUAUCAAAGAAAUUUUUGGUGAAGAUUCCCCUCUCCAUUAAUUGCUUCCUUCUGAUUCUAACUAUGUUUCUUUUGACUGUGCAAAAGCCUUUCAAGUUUAUGUAAAUGAAAUCCACAACUUUAUCUUUUAUGAUAAUCUCUGCCCCUUGCUAAGGAGUAUCUCCCAUCAUGGGAGAGCCUUUCACAGCUCUGACUGUUGGAAUCAUCUGCCAGCCCUGACACCCCCUGUUCUAAGGCCCCUCCCCCUGAUACCCCCUGUUCUAGGGCCCCUCUCCCUGACAUCCCCUGUUCUAAGCCCCCUCCCAGUCUUAACAGUCUAUGGUGCUCCUCAGUUUCCAAAGUUUGCUUCCCCCCAGAUGAAAUAAUAUUAAUGGUAACAAACGAUCACAAAAUGUGGGGCAGGAGCUCUUCUAGGAUCUUUAAGCCAUAGAAACAUUCUCGUCCCACCCCAAAGAAACGUCAAGUCCUGGCCCAGUGCUCUGUGAUGGGAUCAAUGACAAGAACCCCAAAUCUUCUGCUCAAUUGCAUUCAGCUCCAUGGUCCCCGGAGGAAUCUAAUCAGCAUCUCCACACCCAAAAUUAUUCUCUGCUUUCCUCCCAUUUUCUCACCCCCCCAUUAGUUUGGGGGGCUCUCCACAGGGCCUGGCAGGCUCCCAGACCAUUCACACAUCUACAUCCACCCACCAUCAAGGCCCUACCUGUGGCAAAAAAGCAGCAAUCCAUCUUUCACAGCCGUAACUAGACAACCGCUAAUUAGCUGCUGAAGUUCCUCAGGAUCAGAGACACUUUCAGUGGGUGAACAGUUCCUGUUUAAUAAAAAGUGUAAUUUCCA
Long non-coding RNA from Antechinus flavipes (yellow-footed antechinus), 970 nucleotides. RefSeq lists it as uncharacterized. The record is from RefSeq and is a predicted model, not a curated record. The transcript is spliced from 3 exons. NCBI's taxonomy places the organism in Eukaryota, Metazoa, Chordata, Mammalia, Dasyuromorphia, Dasyuridae.